RNAcentral lists this ribosomal RNA (622 nucleotides) under uncultured bacterium. RNAcentral's name for it is "bacterial SSU rRNA". It matches the Rfam family "Bacterial small subunit ribosomal RNA", at positions 231 to 857 of the family's 1533-position model. The record is from RNAcentral.
CCGCGGCCUAUCAGCUAGUUGGUGAGGUAAUGGCUCACCAAGGCUACGACGGGUAGCUGGUCUUAGAGGACGACCAGCCACACUGGAACUGAGACACGGUCCAGACACCUACGGGUGGCAGCAGUCGAGAAUCUUUCACAAUGGGGGCAACCCUGAUGGAGCGACGCCGCGUGGAGGAUUAAGGUCUUCGGAUUGUAAACUCCUGUCAUGCGAGAGCAAAGCCCGCGAGGGUCUGAUAGUAUCGCAAGAGGAAGAGACGGCUAACUCUGUGCCAGCAGCCGCGGUAAUACAGAGGUCUCAAGCGUUGUUCGGAAUCACUGGGCGUAAAGGGUGCGUAGGUGGCGUGGAAAGUCAGAUGUGAAAUCCGGGGGCUCAACCCCCGAAUAGCAUCCGAUACUACCGCGCUAGAGAACUGAAGGGGGGUCUGGAAUUCUCGGUGUAGCAGUGAAAUGCGUAGAUAUCGAGAGGAACACUAGUGGCGAAGGCGAGACCCUGGGCAGUAUCUGACACUGAGGCACGAAGGCUAGGGUAGCGAACGGGAUUAGAUACCCCGGUAGUCCUAGCAGUAAACGGUGCGCGUUUGGUGUGGGGUGGUUCGACCCUCCCUGUGCCGAAGUUAACA